Molecule: ribosomal RNA, 381 nt
Filed under: uncultured eukaryote
Lineage: Eukaryota
Description: partial 18S ribosomal RNA
Rfam family: Eukaryotic small subunit ribosomal RNA
Source: RNAcentral
CAAUAGCGUAUAUUAAAGCUGUUGCGGUUAAAAAGCUCGUAGUUGGAUUUCUGUCAAGGACAACUGGUCCGCCCUCCGGGUGAGCACAUAGUUUGGUCUUGGCAUCUUGCUGGAAACUGUUGCUGCGCUUGGUUGUGUGGUGCAGCUUUCAGCACUUUCACUUUGAGGAAAUUGGAGUGUUUCAAGCAGGCACAUGCCUUUGGACACAGUAGCAUGGAAUAAUUAGAUUGGGCUUUUGCUCCAACUUGUUGGUUCCUGGAGCUGAGGUGAGAAUCAAUGGGGAUUGUUGGGGGCAUCCGAAUUUAGCCGUCAGAGGUGAAAUUCUUGGAUUUACGCAAGACAAACAGCUGCGAAAGCGUCUGCCAAGGAUGUUUUCAUUAA